UUUAAAUAAGUAGAUGAUUAGUAUUAUUGAAAGGCUCAUAAAUAGAUAUUCGAGUUUAUUUUAAUACCCUUCAGAUUCAGAUAUGGAUUCUUCGCUCCUCUCACAUUCGUUCGAGCUGCUUCGCUCCUUCCUUCUAUCACUUCUUUCAUAACAUCUGUUAGCAAUCAUUAGUUAUUCUUUCUCUUUCUCUAAGGUAAUUCACAGCACACUUCGUAUAUGUAUGAUUGAAUGUCGACACCAUGAGAAAAGACUAGCCUAGAGUUCAUCAUGUUCAAGCUAUCAAGCUAGUCGAAUCCUACUACCCUUACUUAACCACCGGGAGUAGAUUCGAUAACAAGAUUCUUACAAAGAGAAAGCACUAACCUCUAGUCUCGAUUUUCCCUUUCUUCCUCUACCCUUUGUGGCCCAUAGCCAUAG
RNAcentral lists this long non-coding RNA (417 nucleotides) under Carica papaya (papaya). Its description in RNAcentral is "long non-coding RNA (CPAP_LNC003010)". Lineage: Eukaryota; Viridiplantae; Streptophyta; Magnoliopsida; Brassicales; Caricaceae. The record is from RNAcentral.